Non-coding RNA from Monodelphis domestica (gray short-tailed opossum), 728 nucleotides. The record is from RefSeq and is a predicted model, not a curated record. NCBI's taxonomy places the organism in Eukaryota, Metazoa, Chordata, Mammalia, Didelphimorphia, Didelphidae.
GUUCACUUGGAGGCUGUUUCAACAAAUACCUUUCCAUGGAAGUUUGUGUUAAAGGGAUUUUCUUAGUCUCUCCCUGUGUCUCCCUCAGAGGCCAGAGAGCAGGUUUCUAAGUAGAUCAGAACUGACAGGAGUCAGUGAGGCAGAGCUGAAGAUUCCGUUACCAGGGAGACCAGCCUGAGGAGAGGAAGUAGCCGCCCUCUGACAGGAAGUUAGGUGGGACAGUUGGUCAGUGAGGAGAUAAAGGAAGCAGCCACUGACAACUGGGGCUCUUUUGCCUCUGGGAUCUCAAGAGAGCAGAAGGUGUACAAGGAGGAAGUCUCCCCACCUUGGGGCUCCCACCCCCUGAAGGACCACAGUCUGGCCCCAGCAGAGACCCUGGAGCCAGAGGGAAUGACCCCCAGGACCCCGAGGCCCCCUUCCCAGGGGUCAAUAACAUUCAAGGAUGUGGCUGUGGACUUCACCCAGGAGGAGUGGUGCCUGUUGGACCCUUCUCAGAAAGAGCUGUACAGGGAAGUCAUGCUGGAAAAUGUGCAGAAUCUACUCUGUGGGUAAGGACCAUUUCUUCCUUUAACUAUGAAUCUGCUAUAAAGGGAAUGUAUUCAUUCCAUGCCAAAGGUGCAGAAUUUUAAGCCUUUGUCAGUGAUUAAAAAAAGCAAGAGUAUCUAUAUGAACAAAACUACAAAACACUUUCCACACAACUAAAACUAGACUUGAACAAUUGGAAGAAC